This 480-nucleotide RNase P RNA is filed under the name Synechococcaceae cyanobacterium SM2_3_2. Its description in RNAcentral is "RNase P RNA component class A". It matches the Rfam family "Bacterial RNase P class A". Rfam says of the family: Ribonuclease P (RNase P) is a ubiquitous endoribonuclease, found in archaea, bacteria and eukarya as well as chloroplasts and mitochondria. The record is from RNAcentral. Lineage: Bacteria; Bacillati; Cyanobacteriota; Cyanophyceae; Synechococcales; Synechococcaceae.
GGAAGCAGGGGCAGGCAAUCGCGUUGUGGCUAUCGCAGAGAUGGCUGGAAUGAGGAAAGUCCGGGCUUCCAGAAGCAACACACCGCUGGAGAAACUCCAGUGCGGGCAACCGUGAGGACAGUGCCACAGAAACAUACCGCCGAUGGAAGGUGCUAUUUCCCAAUAGCGAUUCACAGGUAAGGGUGCAAUGGUGGGGCGCAUGCGCUUAAUGUAAGAGCCCACCAGCAGCAUCGAGAGGUGCUGGCUUGGUAAACCCCGGUGGGAAGCAAGGCCGCAGCAACGGGACUAUGGCUGUUCUUCGCCCCCGAUUGCUGCAUCAGGAUCCAGGUAGGUUGCUUUGUAGUUUGACUACGGGUGGCCCAAGGUGGAUCCCUGAUGGAAUCGCGCCGCCAGAGGUCGGCAGUAAUGUCGAUCCCAGAUAGAUGGUUGCCACUGCUCGUCAGGGCAGCACAGAACCCGGCUUACAACCUACUUCUCCUU